GGCAGUCAGAGGCGAUGAAGGGCGUACUAAUCUGCGAUAAGCGCCGGUAAGGUGAUAUGAACCGUUAUAACCGGCGAUACCCGAAUGGGGAAACCCAGUGUGAUUCGUCACACUAUCAUUAACUGAAUCCAUAGGUUAAUGAGGCGAACCGGGGGAACUGAAACAUCUAAGUACCCCGAGGAAAAGAAAUCAACCGAGAUUCCCCCAGUAGCGGCGAGCGAACGGGGAGGAGCCCAGAGCCUGAAUCAGCAUGUGUGUUAGUGGAAGCGUCUGGAAAGGCGCGCGAUACAGGGUGACAGCCCCGUACACAAAAGCGCAUGUGCUGUGAGCUCGAUGAGUAGGGCGGGACACGUGGUAUCCUGUCUGAAUAUGGGGGGACCAUCCUCCAAGGCUAAAUACUCCUGACUGACCGAUAGUGAACCAGUACCGUGAGGGAAAGGCGAAAAGAACCCCGGCGAGGGGAGUGAAAAAGAACCUGAAACCGUGUACGUACAAGCAGUGGGAGCACCCUUUGGGUGUGACUGCGUACCUUUUGUAUAAUGGGUCAGCGACUUAUAUUCUGUAGCAAGGUUAACCGAAUAGGGGAGCCGGAGGGAAACCGAGUCUUAACCGGGCGUUAAGUUGCAGGGUAUAGACCCGAAACCCGGUGAUCUAGCCAUGGGCAGGUUGAAGGUUGGGUAACACUAACUGGAGGACCGAACCGACUAAUGUUGAAAAAUUAGCGGAUGACCUGUGGCUGGGGGUGAAAGGCCAAUCAAACCGGGAGAUAGCUGGUUCUCCCCGAAAGCUAUUUAGGUAGCGCCUCGUGAAUUCAUCUCCGGGGGUAGAGCACUGUUUCGGCUAGGGGGCCAUCCCGGCUUACCAACCCGAUGCAAACUGCGAAUACCGGAGAAUGUUAUCACGGGAGACACACGGCGGGUGCUAACGUCCGUCGUGAAGAGGGAAACAACCCAGACCGCCAGCUAAGGUCCCAAAGUCAUGGUUAAGUGGGAAACGAUGUGGGAAGGCCCAGACAGCCAGGAUGUUGGCUUAGAAGCAGCCAUCAUUUAAAGAAAGCGUAAUAGCUCACUGGUCGAGUCGGCCUGCGCGGAAGAUGUAACGGGGCUAAACCAUGCACCGAAGCUGCGGCAGCGACACUGUGUGUUGUUGGGUAGGGGAGCGUUCUGUAAGCCUGUGAAGGUGUGUCGUGAGGCAUGCUGGAGGUAUCAGAAGUGCGAAUGCUGACAUAAGUAACGAUAAAGCGGGUGAAAAGCCCGCUCGCCGGAAGACCAAGGGUUCCUGUCCAACGUUAAUCGGGGCAGGGUGAGUCGACCCCUAAGGCGAGGCCGAAAGGCGUAGUCGAUGGGAAACGGGUUAAUAUUCCCGUACUUGGUGUUACUGCGAAGGGGGGACGGAGAAGGCUAUGUUGGCCGGGCGACGGUUGUCCCGGUUUAAGCGUGUAGGUGUGUGUUCCAGGUAAAUCCGGUUCACUUUAACACUGAGGCGUGACGACGAGGCACUACGGUGCUGAAGCAACAAAUGCCCUGCUUCCAGGAAAAGCCUCUAAGCAUCAGGUAACAUCAAAUCGUACCCCAAACCGACACAGGUGGUCAGGUAGAGAAUACCAAGGCGCUUGAGAGAACUCGGGUGAAGGAACUAGGCAAAAUGGUGCCGUAACUUCGGGAGAAGGCACGCUGACACGUAGGUGAAGUGAUUUACUCAUGGAGCUGAAGUCAGUCGAAGAUACCAGCUGGCUGCAACUGUUUAUUAAAAACACAGCACUGUGCAAACACGAAAGUGGACGUAUACGGUGUGACGCCUGCCCGGUGCCGGAAGGUUAAUUGAUGGGGUCAGCGCAAGCGAAGCUCCUGAUCGAAGCCCCGGUAAACGGCGGCCGUAACUAUAACGGUCCUAAGGUAGCGAAAUUCCUUGUCGGGUAAGUUCCGACCUGCACGAAUGGCGUAAUGAUGGCCAGGCUGUCUCCACCCGAGACUCAGUGAAAUUGAACUCGCUGUGAAGAUGCAGUGUACCCGCGGCAAGACGGAAAGACCCCGUGAACCUUUACUAUAGCUUGACACUGAACAUUGAGCCUUGAUGUGUAGGAUAGGUGGGAGGCUUUGAAGUGUGGACGCCAGUCUGCAUGGAGCCGACCUUGAAAUACCACCCUUUAAUGUUUGAUGUUCUAACGUGGACCCGUUACCCGGGUUGCGGACAGUGUCUGGUGGGUAGUUUGACUGGGGCGGUCUCCUCCUAAAGAGUAACGGAGGAGCACGAAGGUUGGCUAAUCCUGGUCGGACAUCAGGAGGUUAGUGCAAUGGCAUAAGCCAGCUUGACUGCGAGCGUGACGGCGCGAGCAGGUGCGAAAGCAGGUCAUAGUGAUCCGGUGGUUCUGAAUGGAAGGGCCAUCGCUCAACGGAUAAAAGGUACUCCGGGGAUAACAGGCUGAUACCGCCCAAGAGUUCAUAUCGACGGCGGUGUUUGGCACCUCGAUGUCGGCUCAUCACAUCCUGGGGCUGAAGUAGGUCCCAAGGGUAUGGCUGUUCGCCAUUUAAAGUGGUACGCGAGCUGGGUUUAGAACGUCGUGAGACAGUUCGGUCCCUAUCUGCCGUGGGCGCUGGAGAACUGAGGGGGGCUGCUCCUAGUACGAGAGGACCGGAGUGGACGCAUCACUGGUGUUCGGGUUGUCAUGCCAAUGGCACUGCCCGGUAGCUAAAUGCGGAAGAGAUAAGUGCUGAAAGCAUCUAAGCACGAAACUUGCCCCGA
RNAcentral lists this ribosomal RNA (2742 nucleotides) under Salmonella enterica subsp. enterica serovar Enteritidis. RNAcentral's name for it is "partial 23S ribosomal RNA". It matches the Rfam family "Bacterial large subunit ribosomal RNA". The record is from RNAcentral. Lineage: Bacteria; Pseudomonadati; Pseudomonadota; Gammaproteobacteria; Enterobacterales; Enterobacteriaceae.